GGGGAUGGGGCUCAGUAGGUAGAGUGUUUACCUAGUAUGCAUGAAGCCCUGGGUUCCAUUCCCAGCAUGUCUG
RNAcentral lists this transfer RNA (73 nucleotides) under Cricetulus griseus (Chinese hamster). It matches the Rfam family "tRNA". From Rfam's summary of the family: Transfer RNA (tRNA) molecules are approximately 80 nucleotides in length. Lineage: Eukaryota; Metazoa; Chordata; Mammalia; Rodentia; Cricetidae. The record is from Rfam by way of RNAcentral.